GGAGGUCCGGGGGACGAGGCACGAAGAGGACGGAUGUCAAAGGAGCGCAGAGGUCGGAUCUCCGCCGCUCUGCUUGUAGCAGGAAGUGGCGCAGAGGCUUCCAGCUUCAGAGGCAAAGCUCCAUCUGAUCAAUAAUGGAUGCUGCUGUCUCCCACACUGCUGGAGAAGGGCCGGUACAUUAGCAACAGAAGAGCUCUGGCUGUAAAUAAGCUGGUGAAGCAAACUGGUCCUGAGUCUGAGGAGCCACUUCGGAGACUCCGUGAGGUUCAUUGUGAGGAACAGACAAGGAUCACCUAAGUCGUUAGGAGCCAUCCUCUGGGGAACACCAACGUCUAAAUCAUUUCUAGUCUCCAGAUCUCUUCUUGCCUCGGGCGCUCCAGAGUCCUUCCGCCUUAUGGAGAUUCCUUCAAAGUUGACAAUAAAUGUCGGAGCAUCACUCAAGCUCAUUGUUUUCCCCCGAGCUGAUUUCUUUAUUCUGCGCCUGCGACACUCAUCGUGCCUCGUUCCACCGGAAGCUCCAGAGGAUUUGUAUUAAUGCAUAAAAGAGAUAUUCCCUGAAAACACGUGUAGGGGUG
Gasterosteus aculeatus aculeatus (three-spined stickleback) is the source of this 575-nucleotide long non-coding RNA. The record is from Ensembl. Lineage: Eukaryota; Metazoa; Chordata; Actinopteri; Perciformes; Gasterosteidae.